RNAcentral lists this ribosomal RNA (253 nucleotides) under uncultured bacterium. RNAcentral describes it as "partial 16S ribosomal RNA". It matches the Rfam family "Bacterial small subunit ribosomal RNA", at positions 524 to 776 of the family's 1533-position model. The record is from RNAcentral.
UACGGGGGGGGCAAGCGUUGUUCGGAAUUACUGGGCGUAAAGGGCUCGUAGGUGGCCAACUAAGUCAGACGUGAAAUCCCUCGGCUUAACCGGGGAACUGCAUCUGAUACUGGAUGGCUUGAGAUUGGGAGAGGGAUGCGGAAUUCCAGGUGUAGCGGUGAAAUGCGUAGAUAUCUGGAGGAACACCGGUGGCGAAGGCGGCGUCCUGGACCAACACUGACGCUGAUGAGCGAAAGCCAGGGGAGCAAACGGG